UCUUAAUUUAUUUAAAUUAUAAAAAAUAUUAAUUAAAAUAUUAAUAGUAUAAAAAAUUUUUAUUAAAAUUUAUUUAACAAAAUAAUUAUUUUAUAGUAAAUUAGUAUAGUAAUAGAAUGAUGAAAUAUUUAAAAAUUAAAUUUUUUAUAAGUAGAUUUUUUUUAUUGUAUCUUGUGUAUCAGAGAUUAUUUAAAAUAUAUUUUAAAAUAAAAUUUUUUCGAAACUUAAAGAGUUAAUUAAUUGUUAUAGUUAUUGUAAUAUAAAUAUUAUUUACUAUUAAUUAGAAAUGAGAUGUUAAUCGUUUUAAGUGAUAUCUAAUUUUUAAAGAAAUAAAUUUAAUUUAUUUAUUUUUAUAAAAAUUAAAAUUUUUAAUUAUCAAAUUUUAUUAAAAAUAACUAUAUCAAAUGGGAUAAGCUUUUUGUUAUAAUUUUAAAUAAAUUGAAUAAAUUUUUAAAAUUAAUAAAAAUAAAAUUAUUUAUUAAUUAUAUUUUUUUAUAAAAAAUUUUUUUUUAAAUUAUAUUUUAAUAUAUAAUAUUAUUAAUAGUUAGUUUAUUUAAAUAUGUGCUUGAAUAAUAUAGGUACAGGAAUAAUGAUAAUAUUAGUAUAUAAAUUAUUUAUAAUUAAUUUAAUUUUUAAUUUAAAUUUGUAUUAUAUUUUUAAGAAUUCGGCAAAAUUAAUGUAUUCGCUUGUUUAACAAAAACAUGUCUUUUUGAUAAAUAAUUUAAAGUCUAAUCUGCCCCCUGAAAUUAUUUUAAAGGGCUGCGGUAUCUUAACCGUACAAAGGUAGCAUAAUAAUUAGGUUUUUAAUUGAAAUCUAGAAUGAAUGAUUGGACGAGAUACAAGCUGUUUUAAAAUAUUAAGUAAAACUUAAUUUUUUAGUUAAAAAGCUAAAAUUUAAUUAAAAGACGAGAAGACCCUAUAAAUCUUUAUAAUUAAUUUAUUUUAAUUUAUUAUUUAAUUGAAAUUUAAUUUAAAUAGAAUAAUUAUUUUAUUGGGGCGAUAUAAAAAUUUUUUAAACUUUUUAUAAAAAUUUACUUUAAUUAAAGAUUUCAUAAUUUUGAUCUAUUAUUAAUAAUUCAAAGAAUAAGAUACUUUAGGGAUAACAGCGUAAUUUUAAUUUUAAGUUCAUAUUAAAAUUAAAGAUUGCGACCUCGAUGUUGGAUUAAAAUUUAAUUUAAAUGCAAAAGUUUAAAAAUUAAGUCUGUUCGACUUUUAAAAUUUUACAUGAUCUGAGUUCAAACCGGUGUGAGCCAGGUUGGUUUCUAUCUUUAAUAAAAAAUAAUUUUUUAGUACGAAAGGAUCAAGAAUUUUAUAUAAAUAUAUUUAAAUUUGAAAUAAAUUAAAUUGAGAA
Molecule: ribosomal RNA, 1351 nt
Filed under: Ironoquia dubia
Lineage: Eukaryota; Metazoa; Arthropoda; Insecta; Trichoptera; Limnephilidae
Description: 16S ribosomal RNA
Source: RNAcentral